GGGCAUGUAGUGUAGCUGGUUAUCGCGCCUCAUUUGCAUCUGUCCGGACUUGAACCGGAUAAAAAACAAGUUGAGGAGGCCUCCGGUUCGAGUCCGGACUUGUCCA
Ceratobasidium sp. AG-Ba is the source of this 106-nucleotide non-coding RNA. Lineage: Eukaryota; Fungi; Basidiomycota; Agaricomycetes; Cantharellales; Ceratobasidiaceae. The record is from the annotation of a GenBank genome assembly.